GGUGAAAACUAAUUGGCCUGAAGAAGAGCUUGCGUCUGAUUAGCUAGUUGGUGGGGUAAGAGCCUACCAAGGCGACGAUCAGUAGCUGGUCUGAGAGGAUGAGCAGCCACACUGGGACUGAGACACGGCCCAGACUCCUACGGGAGGCAGCWGUGGGGAAUUUUCCGCAAUGGGCGAAAGCCUGACGGAGCAACGCCGCGUGAGGGAGGAAGGUCUUUGGAUUGUAAACCUCUUUUCUCAAGGAAGAAGUUCUGACGGUACUUGAGGAAUCAGCCUCGGCUAACUCCGUGCCAGCAGCCGCGGUAAUACGGGGGAGGCAAGCGUUAUCCGGAAUUAUUGGGCGUAAAGCGUCCGCAGGUGGUCAGCCAAGUCUGCCGUCAAAUCAGGUUGCUUAACGACCUAAAGGCGGUGGAAACUGGCAGACUAGAGAGCAGUAGGGGUAGCAGGAAUUCCC
Molecule: ribosomal RNA, 454 nt
Filed under: Microcystis sp. 7GE37S1
Lineage: Bacteria; Bacillati; Cyanobacteriota; Cyanophyceae; Chroococcales; Microcystaceae
Description: bacterial SSU rRNA
Rfam family: Bacterial small subunit ribosomal RNA
Source: RNAcentral